Long non-coding RNA from Onychostoma macrolepis, 1004 nucleotides. RefSeq lists it as uncharacterized. NCBI's taxonomy places the organism in Eukaryota, Metazoa, Chordata, Actinopteri, Cypriniformes, Cyprinidae. The record is from RefSeq and is a predicted model, not a curated record. The transcript is spliced from 3 exons.
CUGAAGUAUUCCUCUCGAGAACUGUGCCCGCCGAAAUCUCCUCAGGAUUAACCGCCAAAUCUUUCUCUCAGCGGCUGAGUUCCUUCAUUCCAGCAGCGGCCGCCGGAGACUAAACCAACUCGGGCCGAAGUUUCAUACCGGAGUUCAUCAUGCUCCGUUUCCUUCUUCAACCACAAGAGAGCGACAACCAUCUGAAAAUCACUGAAGCAAAAGCGUUAUCAGUGACCUUUGAAAAUGAUGAAAGACACAGAACGCCUCAGGUCUCGCAAAGGAUCAUCUUUCAGAAGUGCCGUCGUGUCCUGUGGGCCAAGGCUCAUUUAAAAAUGACUGUUUCAAAGUGGAAAGUGUUCUAUGGUCAGACGAGUCCAAAUUUGACAGUCUUGUUGGAAAUCACGGACGCCGUGUCCUCCGGGCUUUAGAGGAGAGACCUUCCAGCAUGUUAUCAGCGUUCAGUUCAAAACCCAGCAUCUCUGAUGGUAUGGGGGUGCAUAAGUGCAUACGGUAUGGGCAGCUUGCUUGUUUGGAAGGCACUAUGAAUGCUGAAAGGUAUAUAAAGGUUUUAGAGCAACAUAUGCUCCCCUCCAGAUGACGUGUAUUUCAGCAGCACAAUGCAAAACCACAUACUGUAGCUAUUACAACAACAUGGCUUCACAGUAGAAGAGUCCGGGUGCUGAAUUGGCCUGCAGUCCAGAUCUUUCACCUACAGAGAACAUUUGGCGCAUCAUUAAACGAAAAAUACGUCAAAGACGACCACAAACUCUUCAGCAGCUGGAAACCUAUAUCUGGGAAACCUAUAUCUGGCAAGAAUGGGAGCAAAUUCCAACACCAAAACUCCAGAAACUCAUAACCUCGAUGCCCAGACGUCUUCAAAUUGUCUUGAAAAGAAGAGAUGCUACACCAUAGUAAACAUGCCCCCGUCCCAACUAUUUUGAGACCUGUAGAAGGCAUAAAAUUGUAAAAUUUCUCAUUUUAAACAUUUGUUAUGUUCUCUGUUUUCUACUGUG